Nerophis ophidion (straightnose pipefish) is the source of this 1721-nucleotide long non-coding RNA. RefSeq lists it as uncharacterized. The transcript is spliced from 3 exons. The record is from RefSeq and is a predicted model, not a curated record. NCBI's taxonomy places the organism in Eukaryota, Metazoa, Chordata, Actinopteri, Syngnathiformes, Syngnathidae.
AAACAAAGCUUUAAUUCAUUAUAGAAAAACAAAGCUUUAAUUAAUUAUAGUGUCUGGUAAAAGUAAGAAAGAAAAAGGAGAAAGAACAUCAUAACUAAUUACUGUACAAAGUUGAAAAAAAGGGUAUGAAGACAAAAAGCUGUGAUAAGGUGAUCUGCCAUCUAUUACUUUUGACUGGUGCAGAAGAGUCUAAAAAGAGAAAUGAAAAAAAUAGUAAUCUGUGUUAAAAACAUUCUAAUGUUUGUUUGGACAAUACUUACUGGAUUUAUGUUGUUUUUCUGUAGUACCUGCGUUUUAAAAAUGUCUAGUUGUUGUUUUAGUCACUGAUCGGGUUUUGACUACUUUUGCCUAGCUUACCUGGUAGAGGGAGACACGUUCUUUCAUUCGGCCAUUACAGACUGGACCUGAAUGAAUAAGCAUCGUGUCCGUGUUUCUGUUCAAUAUCCCACUCCUCUACUGACUGGACCUGAAUGAAUAAGCAUCGUGUCCGUGUUUCUGUUCAAUAUCCCACACCUCUACGGGGGGGGAACAUAUGCACCAACGUCACCGCUACGUGCAAGAGUAAAGUCCCAGCCACUCAGGGAGCCCAACCCAGGUGCGGUACCCAGGGAACAAGCGACUACCGAUCACACACUGACAGGCCAGCCAGCAACUGGACCCCCAAAACCAGGCCCAACGUGCCGCCAUUCUGGCUUGCAGCAGGCCGUAGACAGACACGCCCCGCAGAGGACAAGGCACAGGAGCAGCAGGAGACAACCACUCCCAAGUCAGUGAGAGGUCAUAUCCCAUGCAAGCAGAAAGACUGGACGCCCCAUUAGGAGGGUCCGGAAGUUCCUCGCAGCCGGACGGGAUGAUCGCACCGCCCUACAACAACCGAGCCCCCAUGAGCCCAACCCUGCAUGGACCCCCAUCAAUGGAGAUGUAACAUCCAGCAACUGCACCGGCGCAGCCUCCCCCUGAGAAAAGAAAAUAAAAGCGGGGAGGAAAGGAGGAGAUCACAGACACGUCGACACACAACGCCACUGCCCCAGCAGCUUGCCACCGUGCAAUACCAUGCAACGCAACGAGGCGCCACGAUAGACCACGCGUGGGGAAUAGACCCAGCAGGCCCCCAACAAGAUAGACGUGGAAGGGGUGGGCGGCGGCACCCAGGGGCCCCAGACACACAGUCUGGCUGCAGCUGCCCGAAACGGCGACUCCUGUGGGGCAAGCAGGCUCCAAUAAUAAAUUAUAAAUGUAUAAAAUAUAAAUGAAUUACAUAUAUAUUUUGUAAAAGGCUUCCUGCCGCCAUUGUGUGGGUUGCGUGGACCAAACAGGAACGAUAUCGCUUCGCACAGGUUUGACUAUUUAUUUUUCAAUAAGUAGCUCGCAGUGUCGGUCGGUCGCUCUUUCAGCUCCAUCUCCGCUGUUCGCGCCGGGCUCCUUUUCAGUCGCCGCGUCUUUCCUGUGCUGGUCUCGGUCGCUCCGUGGCUUUCCAUGGUUCUCGCUCGUCUGAUCGCUCGUCUGAUCGCUCGUCUGGUUGUCUCCUACUUCCGCCACGAGUGUGCCUCCUUCGCCCCUUUUAUGCUGCAGCAGAAGAUGAUGGGAUUGAGAACAGGUGUGUAGUUUACGCACCUGACUGGGCUGGCUGCAGCAUCACUCCGAGUGCGCCCCGCCUCUCCUCUCUGCUGCAUGCUCCGCCUCCUGACCUCCAUCUUGGGUAUGACAGCUGUCGGCUCAGU